CCUACGGGUGGCAGCAGUGGGGAAUAUUGGGCAAUGGGCGCAAGCCUGACCCAGCAACGCCGCGUGAAGGAAGAAGGCCCUCGGGUUGUAAACUUCUGUUAUUCGGGACGAAAGAAAUGACGGGAACGAAUGAAUAAGCCACGGCUAACUACGUGCCAGCAGCCGCGGUAAUACGUAGGUGGCAAGCGUUAUCCGGAUUGACGGGGUGUAAAGGGCGGGUAGGCGGGUGAGCAAGUCAGACGUGAAAGUCCAGGGCUCAACCCUGGAACUGCAUUUGAAACUGUUCUUCUUGAGUGAUGUAGAGGCAGGCGGACUUCCUUGUGUAGCGGUGCAAUGCUUAGAUAUACGGCGGAACACCAGUGGCGAAGGCGGCCUGCUGGACUUUAACUGACGCUGAGGCUCGAAAGCGUGGGUAGCAAACAGGAUUAGAUACCCGAGUAGUC
Molecule: ribosomal RNA, 443 nt
Filed under: uncultured bacterium
Lineage: Bacteria
Description: partial 16S ribosomal RNA
Rfam family: Bacterial small subunit ribosomal RNA
Source: RNAcentral